UACGGAGGGUGCAAGCGUUAUCCGGAUUUAUUGGGUUUAAAGGGUGUGUAGGCGGGUCUUUAAGUCCGUGGUGAAAUCUCCGAGCUUAACUUGGAAACUGCCAUUGAUACUAUUGAUCUUGAAUUUUGUUGAGGUAGGCGGAAUAAGUCAUGUAGCGGUGAAAUGCAUAGAUAUGACUUAGAACACCAAUUGCGAAGGCAGCUUGCUAAACAAAUAUUGACGCUGAGGCACGAAAGCGUGGGGAUCAAACAGG
This 253-nucleotide ribosomal RNA is filed under the name uncultured bacterium. RNAcentral's name for it is "partial 16S ribosomal RNA". It matches the Rfam family "Bacterial small subunit ribosomal RNA", at positions 524 to 776 of the family's 1533-position model. The record is from RNAcentral.